UACAGAGGUGGCAAGCGUUGUUCGGAAUUACUGGGCGUAAAGGGCGCGUAGGCGGCCUUCUAAGUCAGACGUGAAAUCCCCCGGCUUAACCUGGGAACUGCGUCUGAUACUGGGAGGCUUGAGUAUGGGAGAGGGAUGUAGAAUUCCAGGUGUAGCGGUGAAAUGCGUAGAUAUCUGGAGGAACACCGGUGGCGAAGGCGGCAUCCUGGACCGACACUGACGCUGAGGAGCGAAAGCCAGGGGAGCAAACGGG
This 253-nucleotide ribosomal RNA is filed under the name uncultured bacterium. RNAcentral's name for it is "partial 16S ribosomal RNA". It matches the Rfam family "Bacterial small subunit ribosomal RNA", at positions 524 to 776 of the family's 1533-position model. The record is from RNAcentral.